This 432-nucleotide ribosomal RNA is filed under the name uncultured bacterium. RNAcentral describes it as "bacterial SSU rRNA". It matches the Rfam family "Bacterial small subunit ribosomal RNA", at positions 30 to 465 of the family's 1533-position model. The record is from RNAcentral.
AUUGAACGCUGGCGGCAUGCCUUACACAUGCAAGUCGAACGGUAACAGGUCUUCGGAUGCUGACGAGUGGCGAACGGGUGAGUAAUACAUCGGAACGUGCCCGAGAGUGGGGGAUAACGAGGCGAAAGCUUUGCUAAUACCGCAUACGAUCUCAGGAUGAAAGCAGGGGACCGCAAGGCCUUGCGCUCACGGAGCGGCCGAUGGCAGAUUAGGUAGUUGGUGGGAUAAAAGCUUACCAAGCCGACGAUCUGUAGCUGGUCUGAGAGGACGACCAGCCACACUGGGACUGAGACACGGCCCAGACUCCUACGGGAGGCAGCAGUGGGGGAAUUUUGGACAAUGGGCGCAAGCCUGAUCCAGCAAUGCCGCGUGCAGGAUGAAGGCCUUCGGUGUAACUAGCUUUGUACGGUAACGAACGGUGAGCUCUAAUAC